CAGGUGCGAAAGCGUGGGGAGCAAACAGGAUUAGAUACCCUGGUAGUCCACGCCGUAAACGAUGUCGAUUUGGAGGUUGUGCCCUUGAGGCGUGGCUUCCGGAGCUAACGCGUUAAAUCGACCGCCUGGGGAGUACGGCCGCAAGGUUAAAACUCAAAUGAAUUGACGGGGGCCCGCACAAGCGGUGGAGCAUGUGGUUUAAUUCGAUGCAACGCGAAGAACCUUACCUGGUCUUGACAUCCACAGAACUUUCCAGAGAUGGAUUGGUGCCUUCGGGAACUGUGAGACAGGUGCUGCAUGGCUGUCGUCAGCUCGUGUUGUGAAAUGUUGGGUUAAGUCCCGCAACGAGCGCAACCCUUAUCCUUUGUUGCCAGCGGUUAGGCCGGGAACUCAAAGGAGACUGCCAGUGAUAAACUGGAGGAAGGUGGGGAUGACGUCAAGUCAUCAUGGCCCUUACGACCAGGGCUACACACGUGCUACAAUGGCAUAUACAAAGAGAAGCGACCUCGCGAGAGCAAGCGGACCUCAUAAAGUAUGUCGUAGUCCGGAUUGGAGUCUGCAACUCGACUCCAUGAAGUCGGAAUCGCUAGUAAUCGUAGAUCAGAAUGCUACGGUGAAUACGUUCCCGGGCCUUGUACACACCGCCCGUCACACCAUGGGAGUGGGUUGCAAAAGAAGUAGGUAGCUUAACCUUCGGGAGGGCGCUUACCACUUUGUGAUUCAUGACUGGGGUGAAGUCGUAACAAGGUAACCGUAGGGGAACCUGCGGUUGGAUCACCUCCUU
RNAcentral lists this ribosomal RNA (784 nucleotides) under Klebsiella pneumoniae. RNAcentral describes it as "bacterial SSU rRNA". It matches the Rfam family "Bacterial small subunit ribosomal RNA", at positions 748 to 1532 of the family's 1533-position model. The record is from RNAcentral. Lineage: Bacteria; Pseudomonadati; Pseudomonadota; Gammaproteobacteria; Enterobacterales; Enterobacteriaceae.